UACGUAGGGUGCAAGCGUUAAUCGGAAUUACUGGGCGUAAAGCGUGCGCAGGCGGUUUUGUAAGUCUGGCGUGAAAGCCCCGGGCUCAACCUGGGAAUUGCGAUGGAGACUGCAAGGCUUGAAUCUGGCAGAGGGGGGUAGAAUUCCACGUGUAGCAGUGAAAUGCGUAGAGAUGUGGAGGAACACCGAUGGCGAAGGCAGCCCCCUGGGUCAAGAUUGACGCUCAUGCACGAAAGCGUGGGGAGCAAACAGG
RNAcentral lists this ribosomal RNA (253 nucleotides) under uncultured bacterium. RNAcentral describes it as "partial 16S ribosomal RNA". It matches the Rfam family "Bacterial small subunit ribosomal RNA", at positions 524 to 776 of the family's 1533-position model. The record is from RNAcentral.